This 587-nucleotide long non-coding RNA is filed under the name Drosophila guanche. The record is from RNAcentral. Lineage: Eukaryota; Metazoa; Arthropoda; Insecta; Diptera; Drosophilidae.
AUUUAUAUAAUAUGCUUUGUAAAGUAUAAAUAAAUAAAAAAUGGUUCGUGCGAUUAUUCACUUCCCAGCCCUGGGCUUGUCAGCCCUGGUGUGUUGGAAGUGAACUCAGCAUGCACGAACUUAGUUGUCAGUUCCACUGGAGCUGGAAAGAUAAAUUAGUAACAACCCUCGCGUUGCUAAGCCGCCACCCAUAGUCAUUCCAAAAGUUGAAAAUAUCUUACAGACAAUUAACCAGAUCAAAACUCUUAUUGGUGAAGGCACUUUCUUUACCAAAAGCACCAAUACUGGAGGAUUGCGCAUCAUGUGUAGCAACAGCGAUGUCUUUAGAACGCUCAGAAGAUUUUUUGACGACGAAAACACCAAGAUACCAUGUUAUACAUAUCAACUCGAAUCGGAACGUGGAUACAGAGUUAUCAUACGCGAUCUUCACUACUCGACAGAUACUACCUACAUUACUGAACUUCUGACAGCAUCAGGUCAUAAUGUAAAAUACAUUAAUGUUCUCAAGUGGAAACACACUGGCCAACCUAUGAACAUGUUUGAAGUCGAGCUGAUGCCCAAUGCAACAAACCCCGAAAUCCUCAAAA